Prunus dulcis (almond) is the source of this 1798-nucleotide long non-coding RNA. RefSeq lists it as uncharacterized. The record is from RefSeq and is a predicted model, not a curated record. The transcript has 4 exons. NCBI's taxonomy places the organism in Eukaryota, Viridiplantae, Streptophyta, Magnoliopsida, Rosales, Rosaceae.
ACUAUAUCAUAUUGAUCUUGUGGGCCUCACACUCAUACUCUGUCAACAAACUAAAAGAUUUUUCACAGAACCCAACGUCAAAUACACCAAAUCAUGUGCAAGGCUUACAAGAAGAGAACAAUUUUACCAAACCAAUUCCCAAAACUUGAUGUAUACAAAAUAUAACAAGAACGUAGACACACGUUACAAGCUACUAGAGUCUAGAGGUGUCAAACAGACUGGAUCAGCCCGCGCAUGGCACGAGCUUGGUCCGGCCCCUUAGACACCUCUACAAGCUACAAAUCAUCAAGAUAAUCUUCUCCACACUUAACGCUCUCGAUCUCACUCCUGUGUGUAUCUGUCUCUCACUCUCACUUUGCUUUGAAUGGAACGCUGGAGAUUCGAAUGAAAAUAAAACGCGGGACAAACUUGUGCGCCAUCGUCUAAAACCAAGUACCAACACAAACUCAACAAACUGCAAAAGCUGAUGGAGAAGUAUUCGAAGCAGAACCUUCAAAGCCACGACUUCUCAGUUACUGAUUCUUCAAUUUCCCAAGUCCGUGAAAGAUAUUAAUUUUUUUAUUUUAGUCAUGACAUGGCCUCCAGAUCUGAGAAACUGUUUCGAAAGGUACUGGCCUGUACUGAAUUCCAAAUCGUUGUUCGAUGAUUUGGGUAUCGAUGAAAUCGUAAGAGAAGAAAAAGAAGAAAACUCAGACUCAAGAUCCUUCGGAGUCACCUUCCCUCCUUUCAGAGCCUAUUGACAUCAGAAACUGGUUCUCAAGCUCUGUGUAUGAAUCUCCUGUGUUCGAUACAAAUGAUGGUUUUGGAGAUUUGUUUGCAAAGAAAAUAGAACUGGGAAGGAUCAGUUUCUAGUUGAAAACAGCAACAGAGGAAAAGAAGAGGAUUUGGAGGAUUUUAGUCAAAAAAGAACUGAUGGUGAAGAGAUUGUUGAUUUACAGUCUUGAAGGGCUUGCAAAAUGUGUCAGCUCUGGGAGAGAUAAUAAGCAGGAAAGGAAGCCUGUAAGUGAGGGUCACCGCGGUGGAGUAAAUGAAAACCUACCUAGUCAGAAUGAUUUGUAUAGCAAACAUAUGCCUAAACCAUUGCAAAACCAUGUUAUGGCUACAGCACAAGAUGUGUAACAUCGAAAGAAGUUCAUGUUUGAAUGAUGAGAAGUCUCCAAAAUACAUGACUCGUAGCAAGGAUUUCACUUUACAGGAGAAUUCAGAAGCAAAAUUCCAUGCAGAAGUUGAUUGUUUAUUAAUUCAAGGUGAUGCAGAGUUAAUUCCAGUUAAAGGAGCGUCAGAAAGAAAACCAACUCAUCGAAGCAAAGACAGAAAAGAUGACGGAAAAGAAAUAUCAGAAGAUGGUUUUAUUAGAACAAGGAAACACAAACUUCCAAGAAAAAGUCAUGAAAAUAUUGUGGAAGGACCGCAAGAGAUUAGUAAAGCAACAGCCACAUUAGCAGCUGGAAGGGAUGCAGUGGUGAAAAGAAAGCCCAGAUGCAACAAACUUCCAUCAUUCUCCUGUGAUGGAGAUCACUGGAAAAUGGAAGUGUCCUAAAAAAAAUAAGCCAAAUCUAGGACUGCUCUGCUUGCAACAGAGACAGACAUUUGCGAAAAGACUACUUCCAUAUAGCAAUCCAAGUCACUGUGGGCUAACCCCUCAAAGUGAUCAAUAUCGAUUCUACUCACCUGCAAUUUAGCUGAUCGGUUGAUUAGGCUAAUCGCUCGUAAUAACUAGGCUAUCAUUUGAGUUUACUUCCAAGUUUUACACAUUCAGUCUUGCUUAAAUUCCUCCAAGAAGGAGAAGAAUAACAUA